AGACCCGAAACCCGGUGAUCUAGCCAUGGGCAGGUUGAAGGUUGGGUAACACUAACUGGAGGACCGAACCGACUAAUGUUGAAAAAUUAGCGGAUGACCUGUGGCUGGGGGUGAAAGGCCAAUCAAACCGGGAGAUAGCUGGUUCUCCCCGAAAGCUAUUUAGGUAGCGCCUCGUGAAUUCAUCUCCGGGGGUAGAGCACUGUUUCGGCUAGGGGGCCAUCCCGGCUUACCAACCCGAUGCAAACUGCGAAUACCGGAGAAUGUUAUCACGGGAGACACACGGCGGGUGCUAACGUCCGUCGUGAAGAGGGAAACAACCCAGACCGCCAGCUAAGGUCC
RNAcentral lists this ribosomal RNA (339 nucleotides) under Salmonella enterica subsp. enterica serovar Infantis. RNAcentral's name for it is "partial 23S ribosomal RNA". It matches the Rfam family "Bacterial large subunit ribosomal RNA", at positions 711 to 1047 of the family's 2925-position model. RNAcentral also lists the same sequence under 2 other names. The record is from RNAcentral. Lineage: Bacteria; Pseudomonadati; Pseudomonadota; Gammaproteobacteria; Enterobacterales; Enterobacteriaceae.